CUCUUGGGGCUUCGGUUUCAAGGGAGUGGCGCACGGGUGAGUAGCGCGUGGGAACCUGCCCUGUUGUGGGGGAUAACCGAGGGAAACUUCGGCUAAUACCGCAUACGCCGGUUGUCUUGAGAGAGAUGGCCGGGAAAGAUUGAUCGCAGCAGGAGGGGCCCGCGUCGGAUUAGGUAGUUGGUGGGGUAACGGCCUACCAAGCCUGUGAUCCGUAGCUGGUCUGAGAGGAUGAUCAGCCACACUGGGGCUGAGACACGGCCCAGACUCCUACGGGAGGCAGCAGUGGGGAAUAUUGGACAAUGGGCGCAAGCCUGAUCCAGCAAUGCCGCGUGAGUGAUGAAGGCCUUCGGG
This 351-nucleotide ribosomal RNA is filed under the name uncultured bacterium. RNAcentral's name for it is "bacterial SSU rRNA". It matches the Rfam family "Bacterial small subunit ribosomal RNA", at positions 69 to 422 of the family's 1533-position model. The record is from RNAcentral.